Molecule: ribosomal RNA, 314 nt
Filed under: Etheostoma exile (Iowa darter)
Lineage: Eukaryota; Metazoa; Chordata; Actinopteri; Perciformes; Percidae
Description: partial 16S ribosomal RNA
Rfam family: Bacterial large subunit ribosomal RNA
Source: RNAcentral
AGAUAUAAGGCAGACCAUGUUAAACACUCCUUAAUAACGGACAAAACCAAAUGAGACCUGCCCUAAUGUCUUUGGUUGGGGCGACCGCGGGGAAACAAAAAACCCCCACGUGGAAAGGGAGCACUCCCUCCUACAACUAAGAGCUACUGCUUUAGUUAACAGAAUUUCUGACCAAUAAGAUCCGGCAACGCCGAUCAACGGACCGAGUUACUCUAGGGAUAACAGCGCAAUCCCCUUUUAGAGCCCAUAUCGACAAGGGGGUUUACGACCUCGAUGUUGGAUCAGGACAUCCUAAUGGUGCAGCCGCUAUUAAG